GGGCGGUUAGCUCAGCGGGAGAGCACUUGCUUCACACGCAAGGGGUCACUGGUUCGAUCCCAGUACCGCCCACCA
Molecule: transfer RNA, 75 nt
Filed under: Mycobacterium leprae
Lineage: Bacteria; Bacillati; Actinomycetota; Actinomycetes; Mycobacteriales; Mycobacteriaceae
Also listed under: 8 other names
Description: tRNA-Val
Rfam family: tRNA
About the family: Transfer RNA (tRNA) molecules are approximately 80 nucleotides in length. Their secondary structure includes four short double-helical elements and three loops (D, anti-codon, and T loops). Further hydrogen bonds mediate the characteristic L-shaped molecular structure. tRNAs have two regions of fundamental functional importance: the anti-codon, which is responsible for specific mRNA codon recognition, and the 3' end, to which the tRNAs corresponding amino acid is attached (by aminoacyl-tRNA synthetases). tRNAs cope with the degeneracy of the genetic code in two manners: having more than one tRNA (with a specific anti-codon) for a particular amino acid; and 'wobble' base-pairing, i.e. permitting non-standard base-pairing at the 3rd anti-codon position.
Source: RNAcentral